AUUGAACGCUGGCGGCAGGCCUAACACAUGCCAGUCGAGCGGAUGAAGGGAGCUUGCUCCUGGAUUCAGCGGCGGACGGGUGAGUAAUGCCUAGGAAUCUGCCUGGUAGUGGGGGAUAACGUCCGGAAACGGGCGCUAAUACCGCAUACGUCCUGAGGGAGAAAGUGGGGGAUCUUCGGACCUCACGCUAUCAGAUGAGCCUAGGUCGGAUUAGCUAGUUGGUGGGGUAAAGGCCUACCAAGGCGACGAUCCGUAACUGGUCUGAGAGGAUGAUCAGGCACACUGGAACUGAGACACGGUCCAGACUCCUACGGGAGGCAGCAGUGGGGAAUAUUGGACAAUGGGCGAAAGCCUGAUCCAGCCAUGCCGCGUGUGUGAAGAAGGUCUUCGGAUUGUAAAGCACUUUAAGUUGGGAGGAAGGGCAGUAAGUUAAUACCUUGCUGUUUUGACGUUACCAACAGAAUAAGCACCGGCUAACUUCGUG
This 484-nucleotide ribosomal RNA is filed under the name uncultured bacterium. Its description in RNAcentral is "partial 16S ribosomal RNA". It matches the Rfam family "Bacterial small subunit ribosomal RNA", at positions 30 to 507 of the family's 1533-position model. The record is from RNAcentral.